CAGUCCCACACUUCCCAUUGAAAUACUACUAAGUUUAUGUUGGUAAAAAUUGUUCUUCAUUUUAAAUAUUGUAUUGUUCUUUCAUGGGGUUUUUUGGCACUACAAAUAAGAUAUGUGCAGUGUGCAUAGGAAAUGUUUCAUUUUUUCUUUCAAACCAUAGUUUGGCUCCUCAACAAUCUGAAGGACCAUGAAAUGGCCCUUGGCUUAAAGAUUUUUAGGGUCCUUGAAAUAGGAUGUGCCAUGUUAGAAAAUAAGGAGCUUGUGUUCUGUCUAUUGAAGGGUCAGGCAGGUUUGCCAUGAAAGCAAGGAAAGCAUCAAAGCAUCCCUACAAUCAGCACAUAAAAGGAUCCUGUGGCACCUAAGUCAACUUCUUCAGAGUCGUGAAACUAGAAAGGCUCAAGCGGAGAAACUUCUGAGAACUGCCCCUCUGCACUGAUAUCUGCAUUGACAAUAAGCAAGAAAGACAACAGAACAGACCCUUAAAAGCACCAUCUUUGGCACCUGAAGGAGUAUGCUUUGGAAUUGAACAAGACAGCCCACGCUUCAGUGUCAACGGCUUCAGGCUGGCAGUUAACUAAGACCGUCAGCUUUACUUCACUCACACUUUCCAUCUGAAAGGCAUUAUCUGCAGCCUACUUGUCAAGGAGAAACUGGGCAGCAUCAUUAAUGACAGGAAUGCCAUAGUGAUGCAGACACAUUGCACUAUUGAGCUAUGCAGAUGACAUGAUUUGCACACCACUUCCCUGAAAGUGGCAAAUGCCAAACUACCAUCAAUGAAGUGCGGUAGUAUGAUAUAGGUAGAAAUCCUAUAUGAAGUUGUGUGGCAUAUAUCUCUGUAUAUCGAAUUAUAGAUUAAUAUGAUGUCUGACUUUAAAAUAUCAUUUAACCUUUCCCCAACCUUACAGCCACAAGUGCUGUUGGGUUGCUAUUCUCAUUAUUCAGAUUCUCCAUCCAUGUGGCCCUCAAUGAAAAUGAGUUUGACACCCCGAUGCAGAAAAUGGACACACCUAGUUUACUGCUGCUCCUGAACAUUAUCUAAUGGCUUCAUAUUAGAAGAAAGCGGAUUCUAUCUAAACAUUAGGGAGAACAUCUUUUACCAUAAGGCUACAAUGAUAGUAGAAUAGAUUGCCUCUGAAGGUAGUAGACUCUCAAUCUUUGGGUUUUUUUAAAAAAAAGAGACUGGAUGGCAUAUUUCAGCACUACUUUGCUUGAGUAUUUCUGCACUACAAAGGGUUGGGCCAAAUGGCCCUUGUGGUCUAAGAUAAGGCAUUGGUACAUGUCAAUAUUUUCCAAAGAACAGUCACAAAAUAUUCUGGUGGCCCAGAAUCUCUCCUAAGGUCUCUUUAAAUGCUGUGCUCUUACCUAGGUUGAUUUUCCUGGGUGACAUUCUCCCCCUUCUGGUAGCCACUGUCAGCCACUUGAGUAGUAGACCUCUUAACUAUCUGCUUUAGUUCUUGCUCCAGACGAUCCUGGAUGGCCUUCACUGUCUCUGGGAUCUUCUUCAGCUUGGCCAAGCCUUUGAUGAGGAUGCCCAUGAAGAUCAAGCUGUUCUCUUCAGGAUCCAGGUCCAAAUCGUCUUUAAUUUCAAUCAAACUGGCAUCUCUCCCUGGGACAUUGGGGGAAGGGAGGGGGAAGAACCACCACAAAAAUCAAUAAAUAAAUACUUUCACUGUGUUGGAAAUUUGAGAUUUCAGAGAAUUUGAGGGCAGGUUAUAUCUGUCUGACUGCUGUUCUCUCUCUCUCUCUCUCUCUCUCUCUCUCUCUCUCUCUCUCUUUAAUACCAGAUCCUUCAAACAAUAAACAAUUUGCCUUUGGUAA
Anolis carolinensis (green anole) is the source of this 1818-nucleotide long non-coding RNA. RefSeq lists it as uncharacterized. NCBI's taxonomy places the organism in Eukaryota, Metazoa, Chordata, Lepidosauria, Squamata, Anolidae. The transcript has 2 exons. The record is from RefSeq and is a predicted model, not a curated record.